This 544-nucleotide ribosomal RNA is filed under the name uncultured Glomeromycotina. Its description in RNAcentral is "SSU rRNA". It matches the Rfam family "Eukaryotic small subunit ribosomal RNA", at positions 548 to 1098 of the family's 1831-position model. The record is from RNAcentral. Lineage: Eukaryota; Fungi; Glomeromycota.
UUGGAGGGCAAGUCUGGUGCCAGCAGCCGCGGUAAUUCCAGCUCCAAUAGCGUAUAUUAAAGUUGUUGCAGUUAAAAAGCUCGUAGUUGAAUUUCGGGGUUCUACCGUUGGUCGGGCUUUGUCUGUACUGGUGUGUAGAAUUUCUACCUUCUGGGGAACCAUCAUGCUAUUAAUUUAGCGUGGUGGGAAACCAGGACCUUUACCUUGAAAAAAUUAGUGUGUUCAAAGCAGGCUUAUGUCUGAAUACAUUAGCGUGGAAUAAUAGAAUAGGACGGUGGUCCUGUUUUGUUGGUUUCUGAAUCACCGUAAUGAUUAAUAGGGAUAGUUGGGGGCAUUAGUAUUCAAUUGUCAGAGGUGAAAUUCUUGGAUUUAUUGAAGACUAACUUCUGCGAAAGCAUUUGCCAAGGAUGUUUUCAUUAAUCAAGAACGAUAGUUAGGGGAUCGAAGACGAUCAGAUACCGUCGUAGUCUUAACCAUAAACUAUGCCGACUAGGGAUCGGACGAUGUUAAUUUUUCUUGACUCGUUCGGCGCCUUACGGGAAAC